This 764-nucleotide ribosomal RNA is filed under the name uncultured Bacilli bacterium. RNAcentral describes it as "bacterial SSU rRNA". It matches the Rfam family "Bacterial small subunit ribosomal RNA", at positions 29 to 776 of the family's 1533-position model. Lineage: Bacteria; Bacillati; Bacillota; Bacilli. The record is from RNAcentral.
AUGAACGCUGGCGGCGUGCCUAAUACAUGCAAGUAGAACGCUGAAGCUUGGUGCUUGCACCGAGCGGAAGAGUUGCGAACGGGUGAGUAACGCGUAGGUAACCUGCCUCUUAGCGGGGGAUAACUAUUGGAAACGAUAGCUAAUACCGCAUAAAAGUCGGCAUUGCAUGAUGUUGACUUGAAAGGUGCAACUGCAUCACUAAGAGAUGGACCUGCGUUGUAUUAGCUAGUUGGUGAGGUAACGGCUCACCAAGGCGACGAUACAUAGCCGACCUGAGAGGGUGAUCGGCCACACUGGGACUGAGACACGGCCCUGACUCCUACGGGAGGCAGCAGUAGGGAAUCUUCGGCAAUGGACGGAAGUCUGACCGAGCAACGCCGCGUGAGUGAAGAAGGUUUUCGGAUCGUAAAGCUCUGUUGUAAGAGAAGAACGAGUGUGAGAGUGGAAAGUUCACACUGUGACGGUAACUUACCAGAAAGGGACGGCUAACUACGUGCCAGCAGCCGCAGUAAUACGUAGGUCCCGAGCGUUAUCCGGAUUUAUUGGGCGUAAAGCGAGCGCAGGCGGUUAGAUAAGUCUGAAGUUAAAGGCUGUGGCUUAACCAUAGUACGCUUUGGAAACUGUUUAACUUGAGUGCAGAAGGGGAGAGUGGAAUUCCAUGUGUAGCGGUGAAAUGCGUAGAUAUAUGGAGGAACACCGGUGGCGAAAGCGGCUCUCUGGUCUGUAACUGACGCUGAGGCUCGAAAGCGUGGGGAGCAAACAGG